UGAGGAAUAUUGGUCAAUGGGCGGAAGCCUGAACCAGCCAAGUCGCGUGAGGGAAGACGGUCCUAUGGAUUGUAAACCUCUUUUGCAGGGGAGCAAGACGCGGUACGUGUACCGUGCUGGAGAGUACCCUGAGAAAAAGGCAUCGGCUAACUCCGUGCCAGCAGCCGCGGUAAUACGGAGGAUGCGAGCGUUAUCCGGAUUUAUUAGGUUUAAACGGGUGCGUAGGCGGACUGGUAAGUCAGCGGUAAAAAUUGCGGUGCUCAACGCCGUAGUGCCGUUGAAACUGCCGGUCUUGAGUGAGCGAGAAGUAUGCGGAAUGCGUGGUGUAGCGGUGAAAUGCAUAGAUAUCACGCAGAACUCCGAUUGCGAAGGCAGCAUACCGGCGCUCAACUGACGCUGAGGCACAAAGCGUGGGGGGAUCGAACAGGAUUAGAUACC
RNAcentral lists this ribosomal RNA (438 nucleotides) under uncultured bacterium. RNAcentral describes it as "bacterial SSU rRNA". It matches the Rfam family "Bacterial small subunit ribosomal RNA", at positions 355 to 786 of the family's 1533-position model. The record is from RNAcentral.